UACGGAGGGGACUAGCGUUGUUCGGAAUUACUGGGCGUAAAGCGCACGUAGGCGGAUUUGUAAGUCAGGGGUGAAAUCCCGGGGCUCAACCUCGGAACUGCCUUUGAUACUGCAAAUCUCGAGUCCGGAAGAGGUGAGUGGAAUUCCUAGUGUAGAGGUGAAAUUCGUAGAUAUUAGGAAGAACACCAGUGGCGAAGGCGGCAUCCUGGACCGAUACUGACGCUGAGGAGCGAAAGCCAGGGGAGCAAACGGG
RNAcentral lists this ribosomal RNA (253 nucleotides) under uncultured bacterium. Its description in RNAcentral is "partial 16S ribosomal RNA". It matches the Rfam family "Bacterial small subunit ribosomal RNA", at positions 524 to 776 of the family's 1533-position model. The record is from RNAcentral.